This 179-nucleotide small nuclear RNA is filed under the name Erinaceus europaeus (western European hedgehog). RNAcentral describes it as "U2 spliceosomal RNA". It matches the Rfam family "U2 spliceosomal RNA". From Rfam's summary of the family: U2 is a small nuclear RNA (snRNA) component of the spliceosome (involved in pre-mRNA splicing). Complementary binding between U2 snRNA (in an area lying towards the 5' end but 3' to hairpin I) and the branchpoint sequence (BPS) of the intron results the bulging out of an unpaired adenosine, on the BPS, which initiates a nucleophilic attack at the intronic 5' splice site, thus starting the first of two transesterification reactions that mediate splicing. The record is from Rfam by way of RNAcentral. Lineage: Eukaryota; Metazoa; Chordata; Mammalia; Eulipotyphla; Erinaceidae.
AUCACUUCUCGGCCUUUUGGCUAAGAUCAAGUGAAGAAAUUCUCAGAUUCUUAAAAGGAGCUGGACAUUUUCAUCAAUGUUUAUUUCAAAGGCAGGUUGAUACAUUGAUUAUAAAUAUGGGAUCUCACAUUUUUUUAAUCCAGUUAUGAGGGACACAGCUCUCUUUCAUUGCUUUGUAA